Salvia splendens (bonfire salvia) is the source of this 6006-nucleotide long non-coding RNA. RefSeq lists it as uncharacterized. The record is from RefSeq and is a predicted model, not a curated record. Lineage: Eukaryota; Viridiplantae; Streptophyta; Magnoliopsida; Lamiales; Lamiaceae. The transcript is spliced from 31 exons.
GUGCUUAUGGAGCACUCUAAUAGCCGCAUGACACGAUUCUUGAGAACCAGAUUCUAAAAAAGAGUUGUGAAGCAGUUGAUCAUGCUAAGAGAUUGAAGGAGGAUUCAAUGCUUUUGCUGAGAGUGUUAUCAUACUGGUCAUUUGGAUUCUUUAUGGUUUAUGAACUAGGUGCUGGUUGCAUUACCUGAGAUUAGAAUCUUCCUGGUUGGUGUUUGCGAGAUGAUGAGCUCUGGGAAUCUGGGAAAAUAAAAUCAAACUCAGGGGAGAAAGAAUUGGUUCUGCUAUCGGUAGUGACAGUUCCCACUCAAGACCUACCAACCAAUCCUCAGAUACUUGACUAAGUAGAUGAUCUUACACAACUAAGUUAUUUGAACGAGCCUUCAGUUCUUCACAAUCUUCAGACUAGAUAUUUACAAGAUAAUUUAUAUAGAAUGGCAGGCCCUGUACUUUUGUCAAUCAAUCCAUUUAACAAUGUCUAGCUAUAUGGGGAUGAUAAAGAAAGAAACUUUUGGACACUCCUCAUGCUUAUGCUGUUGCUGAUGCAGCAUGCAAUGCAAUGAUAGCAGAUGAAGAAGUUGACUAAUAAGAAAGAAGGAGGUGCAAAAAAAAAAAGAAAAGAAAAAAAGAAAAGAGAAAAAAAGAAAAAAAGAAAGAAAGGUGCAAACAAAAAGAGAAGAAAAAAAAGAAAGAAGACGAAAGCAAAAAAAAGAAGAUAAAACGCUGUUGGAGGAGAUUAAAUCAGCAACCUCAAGAUCUGUUACAAGGGAGAAAAGGAGUUGAAAUAGGAGAGGAAUGAGGCUGACAUAGGAGGGGGAACAAAAUUAGGAAGUUGCCUGAUUAUACUGAAGGAGAUGCAAAAAAAAAAGAAAAAAAGAAAGAAGGUGAAGCAAGCAAAGAAAGAUGAUAAAGAGCUGUUGGUGGAGAUGAAAUCAGCAACUUGAAGAACCCUUACAAGGGAGAAAAUGAGUUUAUGUAGGAGAGGGUUGAGGCUGAGCAGCAUGCAAGGGAAGAAGAGACAACUGCCCAAUCUAGGACAUGCCCAGAUCCCAUGACGUGCAGAAGCUUACCAAAACAAGAGAAUAAAAGGCAUGGGUUAUGGCUCAUCAGCUAUUACUUAUGACAACAUCAUGGUCCUGUACAGGAAAGCAGGUUAAUUCGAGAAAAUCCCUGAGACUCUCAUUGUAGAAAAAUGGUGUAGCCGAAAAUAGAUGAAAUGAUGAGAAAUUUCUCCGGUUAAGCUUGGACAGCUCGAAGAAGCCAAGGCUGUGCAAGAUGACUAGACUUCUACUUACCACACAUACGACGUCAGAGUGCGGAACAUACUCCUGAUUGGCAACAAUCCGAAGGGUCUCCCCGAUAAAUCCGAUGCACUGCUUUGGGAUUUAAUAAAAAGGGAAGAAAUACCGACCUCCCUUCAGAAGGGCCGUCGAAUAUCCACGCUUUCUUCUACUCCUCCGAUGUCCAGUCCUUUCGAUAAGUGCUUAUGGAGCACUAUAAUAGCCGCAUGACACGAUUCUUGAAAACCAGAUUCUAAAAAAGAGUUGUGAAGCAGUUGAUCAUGCUACGAGAUUGAAGGAGGAUUCAAUGCUUUUGCUGAGAGUGUUAUCAUACUGGUCAUUUGGAUUCUUUAUGGUUUAUGAACUAGGUGCUGGUUGCAUUACCUGAGAUUAGAAUCUUCCUGGUUGGUGUUUGCGAGAUGAUGAGCUCUGGGAAUCUGGGAAAAUAAAAUCAAACUCAGGGGAGAAAGAAUUGGUUCUGCUAUCGGUAGUGACAGUUCCCACUCAAGACCUACCAACCAAUCCUCAGAUACUUGACUAAGUAGAUGAUCUUACACAACUAAGUUAUUUGAACGAGCCUUCAGUUCUUCACAAUCUUCAGACUAGAUAUUUACAAGAUAAUUUAUAUAGAAUGGCAGGCCCUGUACUUUUGUCAAUCAAUCCAUUUAACAAUGUCUAGCUAUAUGGGGAUGAUAAAGAAAGAAACUUUUGGACACUCCUCAUGCUUAUGCUGUUGCUGAUGCAGCAUGCAAUGCAAUGAUAGCAGAUGAAGAAGUUGACUAAUAAGAAAGAAGGAGGUGCAAAAAAAAAGAAAAGAAAAAAGAAAAGAAAAAAAGAAAAGAAAAAUAGAAAGAAGGUGCAAAAAAAAGAGAAGAAAAAAAAAGAAAGGAGAUGAAAGCAAAAAAAAGAAGAUAAAGCGCUGUUGGAGGAGAUUAAAUUAGCAACCACAAGAUCUGUUACAAGGGAGAAAAGGAGUUGAAAUAGGAGUGGAAUGAGGCUGACAUAGGAGGGGGAACAAAAUUAGGAAGUUGCCUGAUUAUACUGAAGGAGAUGCAAAAAAAAAGAAAAAAAGAAAGAAGGUGAAGCAAGCAAAGAAAGAUGAUAAAGAGCUGUUGGUGGAGAUGAAAUCAGCAACUUCAAGAACCCUUACAAGGGAGAAAAUGAGUUUAUGUAGGAGAGGGCUGAGGCUGAGCAGCAUGCAAGGGAAGAAGAGACAACUGCCCAAUCUAGGACAUGCCCCAGAUCCCAUGACGUGCAGAAGCUUACCAAAACAAGAGAAUAAAAGGCAUGGGAUAUGGCUCAUCAGCUAUUACUUAUGACAACAUCAUGGUCCUGUACAGGAAAGCAGGUCAAUUCGAGAAAAUCCCUGAGACUCUCAUUGUAGAAGAAUGGUGUCGACGAAAAUAGAUGAAAUGAUGAGAAAUUUCUCUGGUUAAGCUUGGAGAGAUCGAAGAAGCCAAGGCUGUGCUAGAUGACUAGACUUCUACUUGCCACACAUACGACAUCAGAGUGCCGAACAUUCCUGAUUGGCUACUAUCAGAAGGGUCUCUCCGAUAAAUCUGAUGCAUUGCUUUGGGAUAUUAUAAAUAGGGAAGAAAUACCAACUUCCCUUCAGAAGGGCCGUCGACUAUCCACGCUUUCUUCUCCUCCUCCGAUGUCCAGUCCUUUCGAUAAGUGCUUAUGGAGCACUCUAAUAGCCGCAUGACACGAUUCUUGAGAACCAGAUGCUAAAAAAGAGUUGUGAUUCAGUUGCUCAUGCUAAGAGAUUGAAGGAGGAUUCAAUGCUUUUGCUGAGAGUGUUAUCAUACUGGUUAUUUGGAUUCUUUAUGGUUUAUGAACUCGGUGCUGGUUGCAUUACCUGAGAUUAGAAUCUUCCAGGUUGGUGUUUGCGUGAUGAUGAGCUCUGGGAAUCUGGGAAAAUAAAAUCAAACUCUGGGGAGAAAGAAUUGGUUCUGCUAUCGGUAGUGACAGUUCCCACUCAAGACCUACCAACCAAUCCUCAGAUACUUGACUAAGUAGAUGAUCACACAACUAAGUUAUUUGAACGAGCCUUCAGUUCUUCACAUUCUUCAGACUAGAUAUUUACAAGAUAAUUUAUAUAGAAUGGCAGGCCCUGUACUUUUGUCAAUCAAUCAAUUUAACAAUGUCUAGCUAUAUGGGGAUGAUAAAGAUAGAAACUUUUGGACACUCCUCAUGCUUAUGCUGUUGCUGAUGCAGCAUGCAAUGCAAUGAUAGCAGAUGAAGAAGUUGACUAAUAAGAAAGAAGGAGGUGCAAAAAAAAGAAAAGAAAAAAAGAAAAGAGAAAAAGAAAAGAGAAAGUAAGAAAAAAAGAAAGAAAGAAGGGGCAAAAAAAAAGAGAGAGAAAAAAAGAAGACGCAAGCAAAAAAAGAAGAAGAUAAAGCGCUGUUGGAGGAGAUUAAAUCAGCAACCUCAAGAUCUGUUACAAGGGAGAAAAGGAGUUGAAAUAGGAGGGGAAUGAGGCUGACAUAGGAGGGGGAACAAAAUUAGGAAGUUGCCUGAUUAUACUGAAGGAGAUGCAAAAAAAAAAAGAAAAAAAAAGAAAGUGAAGCAAGCAAAGAAAGAUGAUAAAGAGCUGUUGUUGGAGAUGAAAUCAGAAACUUCAAGAACCCUUACAAGGGAGAAAAUGAGUUUAUGUAGGAGAGGGCUGAGGCUGAGCAGUAUGCAAGGGAAGAAGAGACAACUGCCCAAUCUAGGACAUGCCCCAGAUCCCAUGACGUGCAGAUGCUUACCAAAACAAGGAAUAUGGAGGAAAAAGAAAUCAGGGCAAGAAAAUGGAGGAGUUUGGAAAUCAAUGGAAAAAUGCUGCAAAUUUGAGCUAAAGGGGUAAAAAUGAGAAUAAGGUCUCGUCUCACCCACCAAAAAGAGGAAGACUCGUGCUUUCAUUACCAAACUCUCACGUCUCCCAGCUAGAAAGCAGGCAUAACUCCACUCUUUUGACUGCACUCUCCAUUCUUUGCAUCCAUUGUUCCAUUGGAAAAAAGGGGUCCACGACUAAUUCAACUCUACCUACAGUACCAGCUCUUGUACCAGAGACAGAAGAGGGCAGAAGAUGGCUCCUCCUAAUAGCAAUCGGCCACUACUCCUGUACCACUUACCAUUCACACCAUUCCCAACAAUUCUUUCCCCAAUUUGGCCCACAUCUGUAGAGGAUGGAACCAUCUACAGAAUCAGCCCUACCUCAAUUCCUUGGGGAGGAAGUUUUCAAACCCCAAGUAUAAAAGCAAUGCUCUGCCCUAGUUGAAAGGGACGAGCAACCGUGUUUAGGUCCACUUUAAUCCUCAAGGACGUGGUGGCUAACAUCAAACCUCGUGUAAGCAACUUCAUUGCUGCUGGGAAUAUGUAUGGUGCUAAAAUAUAGACCUGUAGGCUGAGGUGAAGAAGUGCUUCUGAACACAACUAUCUCAAUCCGAGUGAAUGUUUCAGAUCCCAAACGUUAAUAAUGAACAAGAGUUUCAUAUUCUUAUGGUAAAUGACAGGUCUUGAAUAUGCAAUGUAUAUUGGUUAGCUACACCCAUUUGUUUUUCUCGUACUCACUCAUUAUUCAACCACCCAACCUCUUUUGUGUCUGGGGUGGUUUGAAUCUUUAGUGAAGAAACUGAUGCACUGGUGGGAUAAAAAGCAUAGUUUCUAUAGAACUUUCUAAUCUUUUUAGUAUAUUUAUUAUAUUUACAAUAUUUAUUAAUUCUGGAAUAUGUUUGCACUCCUUAAGUAGCCUUAGAUUCUAUCAGAAUCUGUAAAGAUGAUCAGGAACACAUCAAGAUGCUUGUUGCAAUUUUGUGGUGGGGAAACAUAUCAUUUCUUGUAAUUGAGAAUCGGUUGGUUCUGAUGAAGAUCAACAUGUCAUUUCCAUUGGGAAAGAUAACAUGGGCGUUAGUAAGCAUCCUUGAUAUGUAUGGAUUUGAAUCACUUAAGAAGAAUAGCAUUUUUACGUCUAUUAUGCUGACGAGCGGCUCCAGAGCCAUUUCUAUCAACAUCUCAUCAAACUUGAGCAAGAAGCAAGCAUCACACAUAAAAGUCCUUACAGUUUAUUUUCUUCUGUCAUUCCUUCUCAAAAUAGAGCCUGCAAGGAUUACAAUUUGUGAAUUCAUAAAGUGGGCGCUCUGGGAAUCUGUGCAAAUAAAAUCAAACUCGGGGGAGAAAGCUUUGGUUCUGCUCUUGGACGGAGUUCCCACAGACGACCUUCUACCAGCCAUUUUGCAGAUACUUGACGAAGUUGAUGAUCAUGCACAAGCUAAGUUAUUUGAACUAGUCUUCCGUUCUUCAGAUACGUGGUCUUGAAUAUGUAUUGUAUAUUGGUUAGCUACACCCAUUUGUUUUUCUCGUACUCACUCAUUAUUCAAGCACCCAACCACUUUUGUCUCUGGAGAGGUACGAAUCUUUAGUGAAGAAACUGAUCUUUUUACAAUAUUUAUUAUAUGUACAAUAUUUAUUAAUUCUGGCAUAUGUUUUCACCCCUUUAGUAGCCUUAGAUUUAUAAAGAUGACGAGGAAUGCCUCAAAAUGCUUGCUACAGUUUUGUGGCUGUGAAACAUAUCAUUUCUUGUAAUUGAGAAACAAAAGCACAUCGAGGUUUUUCCUGAUGAAGCUUGCUUGAUGGGCUGUAGUGAGCAAGAUCGGAUGCUUUCAACGUGAAAGUGCCAGCGGGAUCUCUGUCACUUGAACAUGUUCUUAAUUUUGUGUGUAUGCCCAGUGUAUAUUUUGUGUAUGAG